GACGAACGCUGGCGGCGUGCUUAACACAUGCAAGUCGAACGGAAAGGCCCUGCUUUUGUUGGUUGCUCGAUUGGCGAACGGGUGAGUAACACGUGAGUAACCUGCCCUUGACUUUGGGAUAACUUCAGGGAACUGGGGCUAAUACCGGAUAGGAGCUCCUGCUGCAUGGUGGGGGUUGGUAAGUUUCGGCUGUUGGGGAUCGACUCGCGGCUUAUCAGCUUGUUUGUGGGGUAGUGGCUGACCAAGCCUUUGACGGGUAGCCGGCCUGAGAGGGGUACCGGGAACCUGGGGCCUGAGGGAGGGAGCAGAAGGGAACGGGACGCAGCGGUGGGAAAUAUUGCACAACGGGGGGACGCCUGAUGCAGAAAUGCCGCGUGCGUAAUGCCCGCCUUCGGGGUGAAAACAGAUUUGGACUGUGCUGAAGCGGGCGUGACGGUACCGGGUCAAGAAGCCACGGCUAACUACGUG
This 468-nucleotide ribosomal RNA is filed under the name uncultured bacterium. RNAcentral's name for it is "partial 16S ribosomal RNA". It matches the Rfam family "Bacterial small subunit ribosomal RNA", at positions 28 to 507 of the family's 1533-position model. The record is from RNAcentral.